This 254-nucleotide ribosomal RNA is filed under the name uncultured bacterium. Its description in RNAcentral is "partial 16S ribosomal RNA". It matches the Rfam family "Bacterial small subunit ribosomal RNA", at positions 524 to 776 of the family's 1533-position model. The record is from RNAcentral.
UACGGAGGGGGCUAGCGUUGUUCGGAAUCACUGGGCGUAAAGGGCGCGCAGGCGGCUUAACAAGUUGGAAGUGAAAUCCUAUGGCUUAACCAUAGAACUGCUUUCAAAACUGUUAGGCUAGAGUAUGGUAGAGGAUGGUGGAAUUCCUAGUGUAGAGGUGAAAUUCGUAGAUAUUAGGAGGAACACCGGUGGCGAAAGCGACCAUCUGGGCCAUUACUGACGCUGAGGCGCGAAAGCGUGGGGGAGCAAACAGG